GGGGGGAGCGCUGGAUCUGGGGCUGUGUCCCGCAAGACCUGUGCUCCUGACCCCGCGCUGUUGGAAUCGCACUCCCAGGCACGUAACCUCCU
RNAcentral lists this microRNA precursor (92 nucleotides) under Canis lupus familiaris (dog). RNAcentral's name for it is "mir-8799 microRNA precursor family". It matches the Rfam family "mir-8799 microRNA precursor family". RNAcentral also lists the same sequence under 1 other name. Lineage: Eukaryota; Metazoa; Chordata; Mammalia; Carnivora; Canidae. The record is from Rfam by way of RNAcentral.